RNAcentral lists this long non-coding RNA (1219 nucleotides) under Parus major (Great Tit). Its description in RNAcentral is "lncRNA (ENSPMJG00000004214.1)". Lineage: Eukaryota; Metazoa; Chordata; Aves; Passeriformes; Paridae. The record is from RNAcentral.
NNNNNNNNNNNNNNNNNNNNNNNNNNNNNNNNNNNNNNNNNNNNNNNNNNGAAUUCCCGGAAUUCCUGAUCCCAGAAUUCCCAGGAUUCCCUCCAUUCCCAAUCCCAUCAUUCCCACCCUGAUCCUGCCAUUCCCGAUCCCAGAAUUCCCAGAAUUCCCGGAAUUCCCGGCAUUCCUGGCAUUCCCAAUCCUGUCAUUCCCACCCCGAUCCCAGAAUUCCCAGAAUUCCCAGAAUUCCUGGCAUUCCUGGCAUUCCCAAUCCCGUCAUUCCCACCCCAAUCCCAGAAUUCCUGGAAUUCCUGGCAUUCCUGGCAUUCCCAAUCCCAGAAUUCCCGGAAUUCCCGGAAUUCCCGGCAUUCCUGGCAUUCCCAAUCCCAUCAUUCCCAACCCGAUCCCGGCCAUUCCCGAUCCCAGAAUUCCCGGCAUUCCCAGAAUUCCUGGCAUUCCCAAUCCCGUCAUUCCCACCCCAAUCCCAGAAUUCCUGGAAUUCCUGGAAUUUCUGGCAUUCCUGGCAUUCCCAAUCCCAGAAUUCCCAGAAUUCCCGAUCCCAGAAUUCCCGAUCCAGAUCCGGCCAUCCCCGAUCCCAAUCCCGGAAUUCCCGGAAUUCCCGAUCCCAGAAUUCUCUCCAUUCCCAGAAUUCCUGACCCCAAUCCCAUCAUUCCCACCCUGAUCCUGCCAUUCCCGAUCCCAGAAUUCCCGGAAUUCCCGGAAUUCCUGGAAUUCCUGGCAUUCCCAAUCCCAUCAUUCCCAUCCCAAUCCCAUCAUUCCCACCCCGAUCCCGGCCAUUCCCGAUCCCAGAAUUCCCGGAAUUCCUGGCAUUCCCGGCAUUCCCAAUCCCGUCAUUCCCAACCCGAUCCCAGAAUUCCCGGAAUUCCCAGAAUUCCCAGAAUUCCUGGCAUUCCUGGCAUUCCCAAUCCCAUCAUUCCCACCCCGAUCCCAGAAUUCCCAGAAUUCCCGGCAUUCCUGGCAUUCCCAAUCCCGUCAUUCCCACCCCAAUCCCGGAAUUCCUGGAAUUCCUGGAAUUCCUGGAAUUUCUGGCGUUCCUGGCAUUCCCAAUCCCAUCAUUCCCACCCCGAUCCCGUCAUUCCCACCCCGAUCCCGGCCGUUCCAGAUCCCAGAAUUCCCAGAAUUCCCGGAAUCCCGGUGUUUUCCAGGGGCGCUGCCGAGCCGGGACCUGGCUCAGAUCCGGAGCCGCCUCUUCCUCAACCUCGGCCUCGUC